This 492-nucleotide ribosomal RNA is filed under the name uncultured bacterium. Its description in RNAcentral is "partial 16S ribosomal RNA". It matches the Rfam family "Bacterial small subunit ribosomal RNA", at positions 29 to 507 of the family's 1533-position model. The record is from RNAcentral.
AGUGAACGCUGGCGGUAGGCCUAACACAUGCAAGUCGAACGGCAGCACAGUAAGAGCUUGCUCUUACGGGUGGCGAGUGGCGGACGGGUGAGGAAUACAUCGGAAUCUACUUUUUCGUGGGGGAUAACGUAGGGAAACUUACGCUAAUACCGCAUACGACCUACGGGUGAAAGCAGGGGAUCUUAGGACCUUGCGCGAUUGAAUGAGCCGAUGUCGGAUUAGCUGGUUGGCGGGGUAAAGGCCCACCAAGGCGACGAUCCGUAGCUGGUCUGAGAGGAUGAUCAGCCACACUGGAACUGAGACACGGUCCAGACUCCUACGGGAGGCAGCAGUGGGGAAUAUUGGACAAUGGGCGCAAGCCUGAUCCAGCCAUACCGCGUGGGUGAAGAAGGCCUUCGGGUUGUAAAGCCCUUUUGUUGGGAAAGAAAAGCAGCAGGUUAAUACCCCGCUGUUCUGACGGUACCCAAAGAAUAAGCACCGGCUAACUUCGUG